RNAcentral lists this long non-coding RNA (615 nucleotides) under Vigna radiata. RNAcentral's name for it is "long non-coding RNA (VRAD_LNC017982)". The record is from RNAcentral. Lineage: Eukaryota; Viridiplantae; Streptophyta; Magnoliopsida; Fabales; Fabaceae.
UUUAGAAGGGCAAAGUGGGAAAAAAAUUAAAAGCUCUUUUUGGUCCCAAUUUUGGUUCGAAAAAUUCGUUUUGGUCCCUGGAAAAAAAGAAAGACUUUCUUCUUCCUCUGAAACCCUAAUUCCUCUACCAUUACCCAAACCCCAACCGUCGACCACCGACCACCGUCCAUCAUCUUCUUCCUCGCACGCCGUCAGCAACCAUCGCACCUCGCACCUCCAUCACCGUCGCACCUCCAUCACCAUCGCACCUCCAUCACCCUCGCACCUCCAUCACCCUCGCACCUCCAUCACCAUCACACCUCCAUCACCGUCGCAUCUCGCACCUGCAGAAAACAAACCCAAAAGCAGAAACGGGAACCACCGUGGCAGCCUCCAGCAUUUUCCAAUUCCACUUCGUGUGCUCUUUUCCCCAAAUCUGAACCCUAAUUUUGGGCAGAGUUGUUCUUCCUUGUCCCUAUUAGGGUUUCAGAGGUUAGUAAGAAUAUCUCUGAUGUCUUUGUCUACAAUUAAUACGUUUUCCGUGCAAAUUGCAGCAUUGAUUUGUAAUGAGUCAGGGAAGCAGGGAGCUUGAUGUUGAAUUCUCAAAUUCUGUCUUGAAAUCUGAAGUUUUUCAAA